GUGUUUAUUUUAGACACUUUGGAUCCGGGAGAAGGGAGAAGGAGAGAGCCGAGAGAGCUGAUGGAGUCGGAGCAGCUUCCAGCUGCAUGGUCUCUGCACGAUGAGGAAGCGGAGGUGGGCGGGGCCUCACCGCCAUUCAUGGGUGUGUCUGAAGACCUGGGAGGUGGUCCUUUAAUCCCCGUGACACAACAUAGAAAGGAUGAUCCGUGGUCAUGUGACAGCUCUGCGUCCUCCUCUGAAGACAGCGACGAUGAUGAUUCGAGGUGGAGGAAGAAAAAAAAGAAGAAGAAACUUAGGAAAAAGAAGAGCAAGAGAUCGAGUUCGUCAUCAUCGUCUUCCUCCAGUUCCUCGUCGGACAGUGACAGCAGUGAGGAAGAGAAGAAGAAGCGGAGGAGGAGGAGGAAAAGGAAAGAGAACGCUGUGACGACAGCGAUACCUGAGUCAGGCCUCGUGCUGGAAAUUGUGUUAACGCCACUAAAACAGCAAAACGACGAGCGAGAGAUGAAGAAAGCAAAAAAAGACAGCACUAGAGAGAAGAAAAAGAAGAAAGACAAGAAGAAGCGGAGGCAAAGAAAAAGAAGAAGAAGAACAAAAAGAAUAAAAAGAAAAAGAAGGACUCGAGCUCUUCAUCUUGUUCCUCAUCCUCUUCAGAUAGUGAGGAUGACAAGAAGAAGAAGAAAAGAAGAAGAAGAAGAAGAAGAAGGGGAAAAAGAAGG
Ictalurus punctatus (channel catfish) is the source of this 716-nucleotide long non-coding RNA. Lineage: Eukaryota; Metazoa; Chordata; Actinopteri; Siluriformes; Ictaluridae. The record is from Ensembl.